CAUGAGGAUAAUCAAUUGACCACGUCCAUCUCCACUGAAUAUAAAAAACAAUUUCCAUAUCUAUAGGAACCUUCUAAUUCAUUCAAUUUCCAAAUUAAAGCUACGAACAAGCAAAAAUACACUCCUACUGUCUUUACACUCAAUCUCCCAAGAUUACUCACAUAGGGGCUCGGGACUUCAUGUACCUAGUGCAUAAACUCACAAGUCUACCGCUAUCUUUGGAUAAUGAAAUGGUUCAAGCUGAUGAAUAUAAAAAGAAAGAGCAUAUUACAGAAAGGAUUGUGAGAAAACAUGAUAGACAUGAUAAUGAGGAUGAUCAGUUAUCUUCAAUUGAAAUAGAUGAGAAAUCAUUGUUAAUUUCUCUCAUUAAGAUCUAAGCCUGUUAAGACUUAGAUCUUGUCAAAGAGUAUUUCAAUAUUAGAUUGUAUGUUAGAUUGUGUCUGAUGGUAUAAUUAAAGAUUGUGGGUAAAGGCCAUGAUCUUAGGGAUACACUUUUGAAUUAUCUCUCUAGCUUUGUGCAUAUAUUCUAGGUGUAAUCUAUCUUUUGAAGUAAGAAGUAAAAUACACUUACAUAGUCACAUGGUAUCAUAGCCUCUACUUUUUUUGAUUGCUUUUUCCAGCGUCCACUUCUUCGGCGGAUUUUUUCGGCCAUCUCUCACUUUCAUUUCAGAUACGCAAGGUUAAACCAUACCGUUUAUUGCGGUCUAACCUAUCACAUUAUCUAAAAUCUUCGACGAAGUUUUCAGCAAGAUCGUAUUACCAUGUGACCCGACUCCAUUAGUAGUCUCCUUUCCGGGCGAGAACUUAUGAUUUUGGUGAGAGGAAAAGAAAAUUAUUUGUUGAAUCUGUAUUUGGUGGGUCACUUGAAAGGGGAUUUUUCGUUUGAAGCAGAAGAGUAAAACUUUGGUUUUGAUAAGCUUCCUCCAAAGUAAAUCUUUCUUUAUUACAAGUCAUAUUUUAUUACUUUAUCUUCACAUAUUGAGGCCAUUCUUACAAGUUUUCUUUUCCAAUAG
Molecule: long non-coding RNA, 1013 nt
Filed under: Nicotiana benthamiana
Lineage: Eukaryota; Viridiplantae; Streptophyta; Magnoliopsida; Solanales; Solanaceae
Description: long non-coding RNA (NBEN_LNC038445)
Source: RNAcentral